This 492-nucleotide ribosomal RNA is filed under the name uncultured bacterium. Its description in RNAcentral is "partial 16S ribosomal RNA". It matches the Rfam family "Bacterial small subunit ribosomal RNA", at positions 29 to 507 of the family's 1533-position model. The record is from RNAcentral.
AGUGAACGCUGGCGGUAGGCCUAACACAUGCAAGUCGAACGGCAGCACAGUAAGAGCUUGCUCUUACGGGUGGCGAGUGGCUGACGGGUGAGGAAUACAUCGGAAUCUACUUUUUCGUGGGGGAUAACGUAGGGAAACUUACGCUAAUACCGCAUACGACCUACGGGUGAAAGCAGGGGAUCUUCGGACCUUGCGCGAUUGAAUGAGCCGCUGUCGGAUUAGCUAGUUGGCGGGGUAAAGGCCCACCAAGGCGACGAUCCGUAGCUGGUCUGAGAGGAUGAUAAGCCACACUGGAACUGAGACACGGUCCAGACUACUAAGGGAGGCAGCAGUGGGGAAUAUUGGACAAUGGGCGCAAGCCUGAUCCAGCCAUACCGCGUGGGUGAAGAAGGCCUUCGGGUUGUAAAGCCCUUUUGUUGGGAAAGAAAAGCAGCAGGUUAAUACCCCGCUGUUCUGACGGUACCCAAAGAAUAAGCACCGGCUAACUUCGUG